This 122-nucleotide small RNA is filed under the name Streptococcus sp. DD10. RNAcentral describes it as "Cia-dependent small RNA csRNA1". It matches the Rfam family "Cia-dependent small RNA csRNA1". The record is from Rfam by way of RNAcentral. Lineage: Bacteria; Bacillati; Bacillota; Bacilli; Lactobacillales; Streptococcaceae.
AUCAAAUAAAAACUCCUAAUUUUAUUUGAUAGAAAUCCUAAACUUUUCUUUUAGUAAUCUUAGAUUACAAUCUUUUUCAUAAUAAUCUCCCUAUAAAAGUCACCAAAUCUGGUGGCUUUUUU